GACGAACGCUGGCGGCGUGCUUAACACAUGCAAGUCGAACGGAAAGGCCUGCUUUCCCUUGUGGAUUGCGGGUACUCGAGUGGCGAACGGGUGAGUAACACGUGAGUGAUCUGCCCCCAACUUGGGUAUAAGCCUGGGAAACUGGGUCUAAUUCCCGAUAGGACUGCAGGGUGGUGCCUGUGGUGGAAAACGAUUUUCUAGUGGUUGGGGAUGAGCUCGCGGCCUAUCAGCUUGUUGGUGGGGUAAUGACCUACCAAGGCGGCGACGGGUAGCCGGCCUGAGAGGGUGGACGGCCACAUUGGGACUGAGAUACGGCCCAGACUCCUACGGGAGGCAGCAGUGGGGAAUAUUGCACAAUGGGCGGAAGCCUGAUGCAGCGACGCCGCGUGGGGGAUGACGGCCUUCGGGUGGUAAACUCCUUUCGACCGCGAGGAAGCCACCUGGUUGGAAGGGUGGUGACGGUAGUGGUAGAAGAAGCACCGGCUAACUACGUG
This 494-nucleotide ribosomal RNA is filed under the name uncultured bacterium. Its description in RNAcentral is "partial 16S ribosomal RNA". It matches the Rfam family "Bacterial small subunit ribosomal RNA", at positions 28 to 507 of the family's 1533-position model. The record is from RNAcentral.